UACAGGGAAUAACUAUUUAAAACUUAAAAAUUAAAAUUAUUUUAAUUUGUGAAGAAACAAUUAUUAAAAUUAAGGACAAGAAGACCCUAAGAAUUUUAAAAUAAUUAAUUUCUUAUAAGAAAUUAAUUAUUUUUAGUUGGGGCAACUAGAAAAUAUUAUAAACUUUUUAUAUAAUAAAAUGAUCCAUUAUUAAUGAUCAUUUGAGAAAAAUACUCUAGGGAUAACAGCGUAAUAAUUUUUGAUAGAACCUAUAGACAAAAUAGUUUGCGACCUCGAUGUUGGAUUAGGAUACUUUUUUAAUGAAGAUGUUAAAAAAAGAAGUUUGUUCAACUUUUAAAGUCCUACUUGAUCU
RNAcentral lists this ribosomal RNA (352 nucleotides) under Dermacentor variabilis (American dog tick). RNAcentral's name for it is "partial 16S ribosomal RNA". The stretch from base 220 to 352 matches the Rfam family "Bacterial large subunit ribosomal RNA", at positions 2473 to 2606 of the family's 2925-position model. The record is from RNAcentral. Lineage: Eukaryota; Metazoa; Arthropoda; Arachnida; Ixodida; Ixodidae.